GACGAACGCUGGCGGCGUGCUUAACACAUGCAAGUCGAACGAUGAACCUUCCAUGAUCUAUUCGUAGAGAUUGGAAGCGGAUUAGUGGCGAACGGGUGAGUAACGCGUGAGCAACCUGCCUUAAACAACGGGAUAGCCUCGGGAAACCGGGAUUAAUACCGUAUGAGACCCCGCCUUCCCAUGAAGAAGAGGUUAAAGAUUUAUCGGUUUAAGAUGGGCUCGCGUCUGAUUAGCUAGUUGGUGAGAUAAAAGCCCACCAAGGCAGCGAUCAGUAACCGGAUUGAGAGAGUGAACGGUCACAUUGGCACUGAGACACGGUCCAAACUCGUACGGGAGGCAGCAGUGGGGAAGAUUGCACAAUGGGGGAAACCCUGAUGCAGCGACGCCGCGUGAGCGAUGAAGGAAUUCGUUUCGUAAAGCUCUGUCCAAGGGGAAGAUAAUGACAGUACCCUUGGAGGAAGCCCCGGCUAAAUACGUGCCAGCCGCCGCCGUAA
Molecule: ribosomal RNA, 494 nt
Filed under: uncultured bacterium
Lineage: Bacteria
Description: partial 16S ribosomal RNA
Rfam family: Bacterial small subunit ribosomal RNA
Source: RNAcentral